This 167-nucleotide microRNA precursor is filed under the name Pelobates cultripes (western spadefoot toad). Lineage: Eukaryota; Metazoa; Chordata; Amphibia; Anura; Pelobatidae. The record is from RNAcentral.
GCAGACACAUUCUAGCCAAUCAGCAGCAGACCCUCCCUCCCAGACCCUCCCACCUCCUGGACAGCUCACUAAGAAUGCAGCUUCACAAUGAAUGUAAAAUGGAUGCUGUCCAGGAGGUGGGAGGGUCUGGGAGGGAGGGUCUGCUGCUGAUUGGCUGGUUUACUCAA